Molecule: ribosomal RNA, 253 nt
Filed under: uncultured bacterium
Lineage: Bacteria
Description: partial 16S ribosomal RNA
Rfam family: Bacterial small subunit ribosomal RNA
Source: RNAcentral
UACGGAGGGUGCGAGCGUUAAUCGGAAUAACUGGGCGUAAAGGGCACGCAGGCGGGCUUUUAAGUGAGAUGUGAAAUCCCCGGGCUUAACCUGGGAAUAGCAUUUCAGACUGGGAGUCUAGAGUACUUUAGGGAGGGGUAGAAUUCCACGUGUAGCGGUGAAAUGCGUAGAGAUGUGGAGGAAUACCGAAGGCGAAGGCAGCCCCUUGGGAAUGUACUGACGCUGAGGUACGAAAGCGUGGGUAGCAAACAGG